Long non-coding RNA from Gasterosteus aculeatus aculeatus (three-spined stickleback), 1391 nucleotides. The record is from Ensembl. Lineage: Eukaryota; Metazoa; Chordata; Actinopteri; Perciformes; Gasterosteidae.
CCCCCCCCCUCAUCUCUCUCCUCCCCCCUCUCUCUCUCCCCCUCCUCCCCCCAUCGGGUUAUUGACCCACUCAGCAAGUACAGCAGCUCCUGUGCGCGCGCGUCACCGGGCCGCUUGUGGUCGUUGUGCUUCUUACUGGGACAGAAUCACGUCCCCACCAAUAUGCGGGACACACGUCCCCCAAACGUUUUUUAAUGUUCAUUUAUUCAUCCAGGUUUAUUUAAGUCGAGCGUCACAUGUUCCAGGUGUUGAUUCGUACCAGAACAAUCUGUACUCAUACGAAGCUUUACCGUUAACAAUGAAAGUAUGGAUGUAGUUAAAGGGUGGAUGUAGUUAAAGGGUGGAUGUAGUUAAAGUAUGGAUGUAGUUAAAGGGUGGAUGUAGUUAAAGGGUGACCUGAAUGAAGCUCAGUGGUGGUAACGGACUCACAAAGCUACAAACACAGCAGCCCUGCAGUGAGACCCAGACAACACCGGGUCACAAACAACCAUCCAACAUGCUCCUGUAGCUGUGACUACAGCGUGUGGAUGGUAGUGACUGAUGGACAGGUGUCACUGUGUGUGGUUCACCUGUCAUCAGGGGGUCAAUGAUGUCAUGUAGUGUUAAAGCGCUUUGAGUGGUCAGAAGACAAGUGCUAUACAAGUACAGUCCAUUUACCUCAGUGGCCCCUCAGUGGUCCCUCAGUGGUCCCUCAGUGGCCCCUCAGUGGUCCCUCAGUGGUUCCUCAGUGGUCCCUCAGUAGUCCCUCAGUGGCCCCUCAGUGGUCCCUCAGUGGUCCCUCAGUGGCCCCUCAGUGGUCCCUCAGUGGUCCCUCAGUGGUUCCUCAGUGGUCCCUCAGUAGUCCCUCAGUGGCCCCUCAGUGGUCCCUCAGUGGUCCCUCAGUGGUCCCUCAGUAGCCUCAGUGGUCCCUCAGUGUGCCCUCAGUGGUCCCUCAGUGGUUCCUCAGUGGUCCCUCAGUGGCCCCUCAGUGGUCCCUCAGUGGUCCCUCAGUGGUCCCUCAGUGGCCCCUCAGUGGUCCCUCAGUGGCCCCUCAUGGGCCUCACAGGCUUCUGUCAGCUGUCAGAGAGUAAACAUCAUUUCCUCUGAUGUAAAUAACAUUUGAAAGGCGCUGCUCUUGUCGUUGUGCAUCAGUUCGAAUGGAUUGUUUGUAAAUAAAUGUGACCUGUGAGUUUCCUGUUGUCAUUGACUUAAUUACAUUGUUAUGACUCUACUAUGUUAAUUAUUAUCCGUCAUGCAUUUGUAGGUGUUGAUCUUAACGCUUUAUUUCACCUUAUACUGUGUGACAGUGUUAUGUGAAUAUGAGGUGUUACACAAAACAAAUAAUAACCUGUAACCUGGCGUCAUAAUGAGGUUAUUAAGUUAUAUAUAUAUAUAUAUAUAUAUAUAUUGUA